RNAcentral lists this ribosomal RNA (467 nucleotides) under uncultured bacterium. RNAcentral's name for it is "bacterial SSU rRNA". It matches the Rfam family "Bacterial small subunit ribosomal RNA", at positions 30 to 506 of the family's 1533-position model. The record is from RNAcentral.
CGCACGCUGGCGGCGUGCUUAACACAUGCAAGUCGAACGGUGAUGGACGGAGCUUGCUUCGUCUUGAUCAGUGGCGAACGGGUGAGUAACAUGUGAGUAACCUGCCCCUGACUCUGGAAUAACUUCGGGAAACCGAUGCUAAUACCGGAUAUGACACAGAGCCGCAUGGUUUCUGUGUGGAAAGUUUUUCGGUUGGGGAUGGACUCGCGGCCUAUCAGCUUGUUGGUGAGGUAAUGGCUCACCAAGGCGACGACGGGUAGCCGGCCUGAGAGGGCGAUCGGCCACACUGGGACUGAGACACGGCCCAGACUCCUACGGGAGGCAGCAGUGGGGAAUAUUGCACAAUGGGCGAAAGCCUGAUGCAGCGACGCCGCGUGGGGGAUGAAGGCCUUCGGGUUGUAAACUCCUUUCAGUAGGGAAGAAGCGAAAGUGACGGUACCUACAGAAGAAGCACCGGCUAACUACGU